Molecule: ribosomal RNA, 468 nt
Filed under: uncultured bacterium
Lineage: Bacteria
Description: partial 16S ribosomal RNA
Rfam family: Bacterial small subunit ribosomal RNA
Source: RNAcentral
GACGAACGCUGGCGGCGUGCUUAACACAUGCAAGUCGAACGGCAAGGCCCUGCUUUUGUGGGGUGCUCGAGUGGCGAACGGGUGAGUAACACGUGAGUAACCUGCCCUUGUCUUUGGGAUAACUUCAGGAAACUGGGGCUACUACCGGAUCGGAGCCCCUGCUGCAUGGUGGGCGUUGGAACGUUUCGGCGGUUGGGGAUGGACUCGCGGCUUAUCAGCUUGUUGGUGGGGUAGUGGCUUACCAAGGCUUUGACGGGUAGCCGGCCUGAGAGGGUGACCGGCCACAUUGGGACUGAGAUACGGACCAGAGUCCUACGGGAGGCAGCAGUGGGGAAUAUUGCACAAUGGGCGGAAGCCGGAUGCAGCAACGCCGCGGGCGGGAUGACGGCCUUCGGGUUGUAAACCGCUGUCGCCUGUGACGAAGCGUGAGUGACGGUAAUGGGUAAAGAAGCACCGGCUAACUACGUG